Molecule: small RNA, 2113 nt
Filed under: Pan troglodytes (chimpanzee)
Lineage: Eukaryota; Metazoa; Chordata; Mammalia; Primates; Hominidae
Description: retained intron
Source: RNAcentral
CUUAUUUCAUGAGGUCGUGGCAAGAUGGUGAAGUAGCAGCAGUGCAUAGGGUGUGAGGAUGGUCCGUGCCAGGGUGGUGCUGCCGGGCCGCAGCUGUGGACGUGGUGGUGGUGUGUGUCGUGUUGGAAGGUGUGUUUGUUCAGACACACUAGUCCUGGGGGCUGCUGGGCACAUCACUGGCGACAUGCCCAAUGGGGUGAGGCAGUGGUCUCGGGUGUCCACAGUCGAGCGCCCCAGACGGCAGGGUUUGCCUGGCGUCCACACAAGCAGGUGUGUGACCAGGGAGGGGCCCAUGCACGGUGCCUCCUCCUCAUGCACUCGCCAGUGCCGCAUGUCCCCAACUGUGUGCUUCCUGCCGCGGCAGCGGCCUCACGCUUGCUUGCUUCCUCCUCUCCAGGUCAAACGAUCAAGGAGCAAAGGCGGGCUGGCCGGCCCCGACGGCACCAAGUCUGUCUUUGGGCAGAUGUGUGCUAAGAUGAGCUCGUUUGGUCCUGACAGCCUCCUCCUUCCUCACCGUGUCUGGAAAGUCAAGUUUGUGGGUGAAUCUGUGGAUGACUGUGGGGGCGGCUACAGCGAGUCCAUAGCUGAGAUCUGUGAGGAGCUGCAGAACGGACUCACGCCCCUGCUGAUCGUGACACCCAACGGGAGGGAUGAGUCUGGGGCCAACCGAGACUGCUACCUGCUCAGCCCGGCCGCCAGAGCACCCGUGCACAGCAGCAUGUUCCGCUUCCUGGGUGUGUUGCUGGGCAUUGCCAUCCGAACCGGGAGUCCCCUGAGCCUCAACCUUGCCGAGCCUGUCUGGAAGCAGCUGGCUGGGAUGAGCCUCACCAUCGCGGACCUCAGUGAGGUUGAUAAGGAUUUUAUUCCUGGACUCAUGUACAUCCGAGACAAUGAAGCCACCUCAGAGGAGUUUGAAGCCAUGAGCCUGCCCUUCACAGUGCCAAGUGCCAGUGGCCAGGACAUUCAGUUGAGCUCCAAGCACACGCACAUCACCCUGGACAACCGCGCGGAGUACGUGCGGCUGGCGAUAAACUAUAGACUCCAUGAAUUUGAUGAGCAGGUGGCUGCUGUUCGGGAAGGAAUGGCCCGCGUUGUGCCUGUCCCCCUCCUCUCUCUGUUCACCGGCUACGAACUGGAGACGAUGGUAUGUGGCAGCCCUGACAUCCCGCUGCACCUUCUCAAGUCGGUGGCCACCUAUAAAGGCAUCGAGCCUUCCGCAUCGCUGAUCCAGUGGUUCUGGGAGGUGAUGGAGUCCUUCUCCAACACAGAGCGCUCUCUUUUCCUUCGCUUCGUCUGGGGCCGGACGAGGCUACCCAGGACCAUCGCCGACUUCCGGGGCCGAGACUUCGUCAUCCAGGUGUUGGAUAAAUACAACCCUCCAGACCACUUCCUCCCUGAGUCCUACACCUGUUUCUUCUUGCUGAAGCUGCCCAGGUAUUCCUGCAAGCAGGUGCUGGAGGAGAAGCUCAAGUACGCCAUCCACUUCUGCAAGUCCAUAGACACAGAUGACUACGCUCGCAUCGCACUUACAGGAGAGCCAGCCGCCGACGACAGCAGCGACGAUUCAGAUAACGAGGAUGUCGACUCCUUUGCUUCGGACUCUACACAAGAUUAUUUAACAGGACACUAAGAUGGGGAAACGUCCUCGUGAGACGAGAGCCUGAGCCAGGCAGCAGAGCGCUCGCUGCUGUGGAGACUGUAGGCCGCCUGGUGUGUCUGAUGAGAAGCGUCCGUCCUCGAGCCAGGCGGGAGGAGGGAGUGGAGAGACUGACUGGCCGUGAUGGGAACGACAGUGAGAAGGUCCGCCUGUGCGCGUGGAACACUGUGGACGCUCGACUUCCAAGGGUCUUCUCACCCGUAAUGCUGCAUUACAUGUAGGCCUGUGUUUACUAAAGUGUGUAAAUGUUUAUAUAAAUACCAAAUUGCAGCGUCCCCAAAAUGAAUAAAGCCUUCUUACUUGUGGGUGCAAUCGAUUUUUUUUCUUCCCCUUCCUUUCAAGUGUCGUGAGUCGUCUUGAUUGUAUAUUGGAAAUAACUGUGUAACAAAUCGUAUUAUAAAUAUUUCAAUGAAUUUUACUCUGAAUUUGUUUAUUAAAAGACUUUUGAACAUGAAA